AUGUCACGGUAGAUACACUCACACGUAAGACUGUAACACUCCUCCCACACAUUGGGCAAGGCUUGGGGAAAUGUCAGCCACUGACAAAAAACUGGCUCUGAGCCCGCCCACAGGACAUGGAUGUACCUUUAUAACUGUGAGCGAAUUUGACCGUUUGGAUCAGGCUCGACAAGACUCCCCUCAAAACAUCUACUUGACGGAGCUCCUUCAUCUGGUGAGAUAGCUUCAACAACAUCGAGUCAUGAAUAUUGCAAUGAGCAUGCUGUGCCUGAUGCUGUUCAUCGUUCACGCACAAACACAGGAUUCAGACAAGCCUCCGCAAAAAGAAAGAAUAUUUGGUACUAUUUUAUACUUCAUCAAGCAAUGUGUGGGAUUUUUUUCUAAUAAGGCAAAAGGGUUUACCUGCCAAGUGGGAAUGGAGGAUGAGUUGAGUACAGUACGUUGUCUCCCUGAACAAGGAUCCUGUGUCACUGCAAACGUAACUGUUGGGAAUUACACAUUCACUUACAAGAGCUGUGCUUCGGACCUGGAUUGUGUCUUUAAAGAACGCAUUCGAAAAAUGGUCCUCAACGAUGUGGUAGAUGCAUUUGAGGAUACUCGUGGGUGCAUCCUAAAUGGUUAUGAAUGCAACAGCGCCCCACAUGGUGGUCCACCUCGUUCCUUGGCUCUGCUUAUCCCUCCCAUUCUAUCCCUCCUUGUAUUUUGCAGCUAAAUUUCUCGCAGGCCUAGGUACGCACAAUUACCCUACCUUUGCUGUUAAAUGUGGGACUAAUCUAUUCAAAAAGUAGUUGCUCUUAAAAUUUUCACAAGGGGUACUCAUUUUAUGUACCUCAUGAUUAUAAUGUAAUGCGUCAACCUGCCAACUAGGAUAUUAACGCAAGAUCUCUGGAUUGUUCAUCUGGAUCUCCACCACACCAUCUCUAGACUUUCAAAUAGGAGUUUUACUUUAAAAUGGUAUCAGUUAUUCACGAGGCAAAACAAUCUGCUCUGUGCAAUGCAAUACAUAGUUAAAGCAAUUAUGUAACAACAAUGUACAAUUGGGUUAGAGUAUUCAGUCCACAGCUUAAAGCUUGUAAUUUCAAUAGCAGUCAGGGGAAAGGCAUAUUCCAAAGUUUUAAACUUAUUUUUGUUUGCAAAUAACAACCAUCAAUGAAUGUGUACGUUGAUGUUACGUUAUUGCAAUCACAAUGAGUACUUUAAUCCGUGUUUAUAAUAAUCAAAUAUGCUUUUAAUUGUAACCCCCCCCCCCCCCCCAUAAACUUAUGACCAUGAUAAGCACUGAACAAUAGUGCCACACGUUCCUUUCCGCCUCUACUACAGCGCCUCUCUACUGAGGAAUGCUUUUGAUUUUACUUAACAGGAAGCUAAUUUAAAAGCUCAUAGUAAGAUUGGAUUGGUGUAGAAUGGUAGUGUAAUAGUUCACACACUGCAAUUAUGAACCUAGAGACCUGGGUCUGAUUCCCGUCCACGACUGCAAGGCACGUGGUGGUUUUUAGUGAGCAGUGGAUUUAUAAAGGAACGUUUAACUGAAUCAUGAAAAAACAAGUAAACGAUCUAUACUUUCAUCAAUUUGUAAUGCCCUUGAACAAAUGUAGUUUAUGCUGGAGUAUAUUGCAUCUAAAUUAGCUUCCACUUCCCGAGUGGAAGGAUAAAGCCCUCUCCAGUUCACCCGCUCUGCUCUUCCACGCCCGUGGUUGCUGCCACUCCCAUUGUGCAGCUUCCUUGAACCAACGAUAAGCCCAUUCAUGAACUAUGAGACAGCGUUAUGGGUUAUAUUUUUUUAUGUUAAAGUGUGUAACUAGGUGUGUAUUUGUCAUGUUAUCGCAGAUUGGGAAAACUAUGUUAAGAAAUUUCCGUAAUUUAAUUUUUUGGGAAAAUAAUGGUGGUAUGAACAUGUGUUGUUUUUGUAAUGACGUGUGAUAUUGCUGGAAAAUAUAUAAUAAAU
Lethenteron reissneri (Far Eastern brook lamprey) is the source of this 1945-nucleotide long non-coding RNA. RefSeq lists it as uncharacterized. The record is from RefSeq and is a predicted model, not a curated record. NCBI's taxonomy places the organism in Eukaryota, Metazoa, Chordata, Hyperoartia, Petromyzontiformes, Petromyzontidae.